RNAcentral lists this ribosomal RNA (497 nucleotides) under uncultured bacterium. RNAcentral describes it as "partial 16S ribosomal RNA". It matches the Rfam family "Bacterial small subunit ribosomal RNA", at positions 28 to 507 of the family's 1533-position model. The record is from RNAcentral.
GAUGAACGCUGGCGGCGUGCCUAAUACAUGCAAGUCGAGCGAACAGACGAGGCGCUUGCUCCUCUGACGUUAGCGGCGGACGGGUGAGUAACACGUGUAUCACCUACCUAUAAGACUGGGAUAACUUCGGGAAACCGGAGCUAAUACCGUAUAAUAUAUUGAACCGCAUGGUUCAAUAGUGAAAGACGGUUUUGCUGUCACUUAUAGCUGGAUCCGCGCCGCAUUAGCUAGUUGGUAAGGUAACGGCUUACCAAGGCAACGAUGCGUAGCCGACCUGAGAGGGUGAUCGGCCACACUGGAACUGAGACACGGUCCAGACUCCUACGGGAGGCAGCAGUAGGGAAUCUUCCGCAAUGGGCGAAAGCCUGACGGAGCAACGCCGCGUGAGUGAUGAAGGUCUUCGGAUCGUAAAACUCUGUUAUUAGGGAAGAACAAAUGUGUAAGUAACUAUGCACGUCUUGACGGUACCUAAUCAGAAAGCCACGGCUAACUACGUG